GAUCCUGGCUCAGAUUGAACGCUGGCGGCAGGCUUAACACAUGCAAGUCGAGCGGAAACGAUGAUAGCUUGCUAUCAGGCGUCGAGCGGCGGACGGGUGAGUAAUACUUAGGAAUCUACCUAGUAGUGGGGGAUAGCACGGGGAAACUCGUAUUAAUACCGCAUACGACCUACGGGAGAAAGGGGGCAGUUUACUGCUCUCGCUAUUAGAUGAGCCUAAGUCGGAUUAGCUAGAUGGUGGGGUAAAGGCCUACCAUGGCGACGAUCUGUAGCUGGUCUGAGAGGAUGAUCAGCCACACCGGGACUGAGACACGGCCCGGACUCCUACGGGAGGCAGCAGUGGGGAAUAUUGGACAAUGGGGGGAAACCUGAUCAGCCAUGCCGCGUGUGUGAAGAAGGCCUUUUGGUUGUAAAGCACUUUAAGCAGUGAAGAAGACUCCGUGGUUAAUACCCACGGACGAUGACAUUAGCUGCAGAAUAAGCACCGGCUAACUCUGUGCCAGCAGCCGCGGUAAUACAGAGGGUGCAAGCGUUAAUCGGAAUUACUGGGCGUAAAGGGAGCGUAGGUGGCUCUAUAAGUCAGAUGUGAAAUCCCCGGGCUCAACCUGGGAACUGCAUCUGAAACUGUAGAGCUAGAGUAUGUGAGAGGAAGGUAGAAUUCCAGGUGUAGCGGUGAAAUGCGUAGAGAUCUGGAGGAAUACCGAUGGCGAAGGCAGCCUUCUGGCAUAAUACUGACACUGAGGCUCGAAAGCGUGGGUAGCAAACAGGAUUAGAUACCCUGGUAGUCCACGCCGUAAACGAUGUCUACUAGUCGUUGGGUCCCUUGAGGACUUAGUGACGCAGCUAACGCAAUAAGUAGACCGCCUGGGGAGUACGGCCGCAAGGUUAAAACUCAAAUGAAUUGACGGGGGCCCGCACAAGCGGUGGAGCAUGUGGUUUAAUUCGAUGCAACGCGAAGAACCUUACCUGGUCUUGACAUAUCUAGAAUCCUGCAGAGAUGCGGGAGUGCCUUCGGGAAUUAGAAUACAGGUGCUGCAUGGCUGUCGUCAGCUCGUGUCGUGAGAUGUUGGGUUAAGUCCCGCAACGAGCGCAACCCUUGUCCUUAGUUACCAGCGGGUUAAGCCGGGAACUCUAAGGAUACUGCCAGUGACAAACUGGAGGAAGGCGGGGACGACGUCAAGUCAUCAUGGCCCUUACGACCAGGGCUACACACGUGCUACAAUGGUAGGUACAGAGGGCAGCUACACAGCGAUGUGAUGCGAAUCUCAAAAAGCCUAUCGUAGUCCAGAUUGGAGUCUGCAACUCGACUCCAUGAAGUAGGAAUCGCUAGUAAUCGCGGAUCAGAAUGCCGCGGUGAAUACGUUCCCGGGCCUUGUACACACCGCCCGUCACACCAUGGGAGUUGAUUGCACCAGAAGUGGUUAGCCUAACCUUCGGGAAGGCGAUCACCACGGUGUGGUUGAUGACUGGGGUGAAGUCGU
RNAcentral lists this ribosomal RNA (1480 nucleotides) under Psychrobacter sp. KJF4-14. RNAcentral's name for it is "bacterial SSU rRNA". It matches the Rfam family "Bacterial small subunit ribosomal RNA". The record is from RNAcentral. Lineage: Bacteria; Pseudomonadati; Pseudomonadota; Gammaproteobacteria; Moraxellales; Moraxellaceae.